RNAcentral lists this ribosomal RNA (442 nucleotides) under uncultured bacterium. RNAcentral's name for it is "partial 16S ribosomal RNA". It matches the Rfam family "Bacterial small subunit ribosomal RNA", at positions 338 to 795 of the family's 1533-position model. The record is from RNAcentral.
CCUACGGGAGGCAGCAGUAGGGAAUCUUUCACAAUGGGCGAAAGCCUGAUGGAGCAACGCCGCGUGCAGGAUGAAGGCCUUCGGGUUGUAAACUGCUUUUAUAAGCGAGAAAUAUGAUGGUAACUUAUGAAUAAGGAUCGGCUAACUACGUGCCAGCAGCCGCGGUCAUACGUAGGAUCCGAGCAUUAUCCGGAGUGACUGGGUGUAAAGAGUUGCGUAGGUGGCAUAAUAAGUAGCUAGUGAAAUCUGGUGGCUCAACCAUUCAGACUAUUAGCUAAACUGUUAAGCUCGAGACCGUUAGGGGUAACUGGAAUUUCUAGUGUAGGAGUGAAAUCCGUUGAUAUUAGAAGGAACACCAAUAGCGUAGGCAGGUUGCUGGGACGGUUCUGACACUAAGGCACGAAAGCGUAGGGAGCAAACGGGAUUAGAUACCCCAGUAGUC